UGAAAGCGGGGGACCGUAAGGCCUCGCGCUAUUGGAGCGGCCGAUGUCUGAUUAGCUAGUUGGCGGGGUAAAAGCCCACCAAGGCGACGAUCAGUAGCUGGUCUGAGAGGACGAUCAGCCACACUGGGACUGAGACACGGCCCAGACUCCUACGGGAGGCAGCAGUGGGGAAUUUUGGACAAUGGGGGCAACCCUGAUCCAGCAAUGCCGCGUGUGCGAAGAAGGCCUUCGGGUUGUAAAGCACUUUUGUCAGGGAAGAAAUCUUUUGGGCUAAUACCCCUGGAAGGAUGACGGUACCUGAAGAAUAAGCACCGGCUAAUUACGUGCCAGCAGCCGCGUAAUACGUAGGGUGCAAGCGUUAAUCGGAUUACUGGGCGUAAAGCGUGCGCAGGCGGUUUGCUAAGACAGUUGUGAAAUCCCCGGGCUUUACCUGGGAACUGCAAUUGUGACUGGCAGCUAGAGUACGGCAGAGGGGGGUGGAAUUCCUGGUGUAGCAGUGAAAUGCGUAGAG
This 511-nucleotide ribosomal RNA is filed under the name uncultured beta proteobacterium. RNAcentral describes it as "bacterial SSU rRNA". It matches the Rfam family "Bacterial small subunit ribosomal RNA", at positions 201 to 695 of the family's 1533-position model. Lineage: Bacteria; Pseudomonadati; Pseudomonadota; Betaproteobacteria. The record is from RNAcentral.